RNAcentral lists this unclassified non-coding RNA (375 nucleotides) under uncultured Gammaproteobacteria bacterium. RNAcentral's name for it is "contains 16S-23S intergenic spacer region". Lineage: Bacteria; Pseudomonadati; Pseudomonadota; Gammaproteobacteria. The record is from RNAcentral.
UCCGGUUCAACACCGGCAGUCUUCUUAGAGUCCCCAACUAAAUGAUGGCAACUAAGAACAAGGGUUGCGCUCGUUACGGGACUUAACCCAACAUCUCACAACACGAGCUGACGACAGCCAUGCAGCACCUGUCUCUGCGCUCCUUUCGGCACCCCAGCCUCUAAGCCGGGUUCGCAGGAUGUCAAGAGUAGGUAAGGUUCUUCGCGUUGCAUCGAAUUAAACCACAUGCUCCACCGCUUGUGCGGGCCCCCGUCAAUUCCUUUGAGUUUCAACCUUGCGGCCGUACUUCCCAGGCGGAGAACUUAUCGCGUUAGCUUCGAUACCGAUAGGUUCCCCUACCAACAUCUAGUUCUCAUCGUUUACAGCGUGGACUAC